GAUGAACGCUGGCGGCGUGCUUAACACAUGCAAGUCGAGCGGUGAAGCCCUUCGGGGUGGAUCAGCGGCGAACGGGUGAGUAACACGUGGACAAUCUGCCCUGCACUCUGGGAUAAGCCCGGGAAACUGGGUCUAAUACCGGAUAACACCUCCUGUCGCAUGGCGGGAGGUUGAAAGUUCCGGCGGUGCAGGAUGAGUCCGCGGCCUAUCAGCUUGAUGGUGGGGUAGGGCCUACCAUGGCGACGACGGGUAGCCGGCCUGAGAGGGCGACCGGCCACACUGGGACUGAGACACGGCCCAGACUCCUACGGGAGGCAGCAGUGGGGAAUAUUGCGCAAUGGGCGAAAGCCUGACGCAGCGACGCCGCGUGAGGGAUGACGGCCU
RNAcentral lists this ribosomal RNA (384 nucleotides) under uncultured bacterium. Its description in RNAcentral is "bacterial SSU rRNA". It matches the Rfam family "Bacterial small subunit ribosomal RNA", at positions 28 to 417 of the family's 1533-position model. The record is from RNAcentral.